CCUCUGGUGGUCCAACGGUUAGGACUCAGCAGUUUCACUGCCAAGGGCCCAGGUUCAACCCCUGGCCAGGGAA
Molecule: transfer RNA, 73 nt
Organism: Ovis aries (sheep)
Lineage: Eukaryota; Metazoa; Chordata; Mammalia; Artiodactyla; Bovidae
Rfam family: tRNA
About the family: Transfer RNA (tRNA) molecules are approximately 80 nucleotides in length. Their secondary structure includes four short double-helical elements and three loops (D, anti-codon, and T loops).
Source: Rfam